ACUUACAACAAUGGCUUUAGUGGCGGACUGGUGAGUAACACGUAAGCAACCUGCCUAUCAGAGGGGAACAACAGUUAGAAAUGACUGCUAAUACCGCAUAUGCCUUAGCAACACAUGUUGCAAAAGGGAAAGGAGCAAUCCGCUGAUAGAUGGGCUUGCGUCUGAUUAGAUAGUUGGUGGGGUAACGGCCUACCAAGUCGACGAUCAGUAGCCGGACUGAGAGGUUGAACGGCCACAUUGGGACUGAGAUACGGCCCAGACUCC
RNAcentral lists this ribosomal RNA (264 nucleotides) under uncultured Oscillospiraceae bacterium. Its description in RNAcentral is "partial 16S ribosomal RNA". It matches the Rfam family "Bacterial small subunit ribosomal RNA", at positions 75 to 339 of the family's 1533-position model. Lineage: Bacteria; Bacillati; Bacillota; Clostridia; Eubacteriales; Oscillospiraceae. The record is from RNAcentral.